UGGGCCUCAAAUAAUGUGU
Molecule: ribosomal RNA, 19 nt
Filed under: Anopheles konderi
Lineage: Eukaryota; Metazoa; Arthropoda; Insecta; Diptera; Culicidae
Also listed under: 4 other names
Description: partial 28S ribosomal RNA
Source: RNAcentral